This 523-nucleotide ribosomal RNA is filed under the name uncultured bacterium. Its description in RNAcentral is "bacterial SSU rRNA". It matches the Rfam family "Bacterial small subunit ribosomal RNA", at positions 8 to 526 of the family's 1533-position model. The record is from RNAcentral.
AGGGUUUGAUUCUGGCUCAGGAUGAACGCUAGCGGCAGGCCUUAUACAUGCAAGUCGAACGGUAACAUUGGUGCUUGCACCAGAUGACGAGUGGCGGACGGGUGCGUAACGCGUAUGCAACCUACCUUUUACUAGAGUAUAGCCCAGAGAAAUUUGGAUUAAUCCUCUAUAAUAUCACUAAAUCACAUGUUUUUUUGAUUAAAGUUUUAACGGUAAAAGAUGGGCAUGCGUCUUAUUAGUUUGUAGGUGAGGUAACGGCUCACCUAGACUACGAUAAGUAGGGGCCCUGAGAGGGGGAUCCCCCACACUGGUACUGAGACACGGACCAGACUCCUACGGGAGGCAGCAGUAAGGAAUAUUGGACAAUGGACGAAAGUCUGAUCCAGCCAUGCCGCGUGCAGGAUGACUGCCCUAUGGGUUGUAAACUGCUUUUAUACAGGAAGAAACACUCCGACGUGUCGGAGCUUGACGGUACUGUAAGAAUAAGGAUCGGCUAACUCCGUGCCAGCCGCCGCGGUAAUUC